Nicotiana tabacum (common tobacco) is the source of this 705-nucleotide non-coding RNA. Lineage: Eukaryota; Viridiplantae; Streptophyta; Magnoliopsida; Solanales; Solanaceae. The record is from RefSeq and is a predicted model, not a curated record.
UAGCCGCUACUCACCCCCCCCCAAACUCCAAAAGUUUUACACCCUCACUUUCCUCUUACUCUCCUCUACCCAUUUAAUGACCCAAUGUCACUAAUUACCUCUCAACUCUGACCACACCGUCCGGCUACCCCUACUGCCAUCCAACCGCCGCCAAACCACCGAUCUCUGUUUCUAUCCUAUUUUUCGACUUUUAAAUACUCAUUUUUCUUUUGCAUGAUGCUAGAACUCCUUGGGUUCAUCAUGUGCCAGAAAGAAACGAUUGUUUCAAGGCCGGAAAACCACCACUUGGUAUCUUCGGCGUCUUUUGGUGGCUCGAGUUAGCAACGACUUCCCUCGUGUGAUGUUGGGCUGAAGAUGUUAUUGGGCUAAGGCAGCCCGUAGCUUAGUCUUUGCCUCUUUUUGGCCCAGUCUAGCACCUGUUUUGGCUUUCAUUAAUCCAAGAACAACUGAAGCAAGGUAAUUCUCUCGAAACACUAAUGUAAUUUACGAUCGAAGGAUGAAUGAAAUAUGGAAUUAUUUGAGCUUCUUUAGCUUACCCUAGGCCUUGAAUACAUUCUGCUCAGUGCUCAUGAAUGGUUUAAUAGUAUGUUGUUCGGUUAACUUUAAUAAGUCUUUUGUUACUCUACUUCCUUGAAAGCUUAAAGUUGGUAUUUUGUUGAUCCUUUUGUGAAAGUUAAGAAUUUUAUUUAUUCUGUUUUGAAUGCU